Molecule: ribosomal RNA, 254 nt
Filed under: uncultured bacterium
Lineage: Bacteria
Description: partial 16S ribosomal RNA
Rfam family: Bacterial small subunit ribosomal RNA
Source: RNAcentral
UACGUAGGGGGCAAGCGUUGUCCGGAUUUAUUGGGCGUAAAGAGCUCGUAGGUGGUUCGGUAAGUCGGAUGUGAAAUCUCCAGGCUCAACCUGGAGGGGUCAUUCGAUACUGCCGUGACUAGAGUUCGGUAGGGGAGUGUGGAAUUCCUGGUGGAGCGGUGAAAUGCGCAGAUAUCAGGAGGAACACCCGUAGCGAAGGCGGCACUCUGGGCCGAUACUGACGCUGAGGAGCGAAAGCAUGGGGAGCGAACAGG